CUGGUAGCAGGGCCCUCACUCUGGUCAAGACCUUUGCUCCCUGCUCAGAUGGCCCUGGGCUCCGUUGCCAUGGCUGCUUUUUAGUUUGAGGUAAACAGAGCUCUUCCUCCUCCUGUCCAGACACCUAAGUUCUCUCUGGGGAAGGGUUGGAAUUUCAAGCGUCCAGGUGUCCCUCACUCCCCUUCCCGGAAGGCACGAGGGCGGUUGUUGGGCAGGAAAUUCACAACCGAAGACCACUGGACAAUAGCUCCAUUGCCAAGCGACCCACAGGGGGCUCAGAUGGCAAAGCGUCUGCCCGCAGUGCGGGAGACCCGGGUUUGACUCCUGGAUCGGAAAGGUCCCCUGGAGAAGGCAAUGGCACCCCACUCCAGUACUCUUGCCUGGAAAAUUCCAUGGAUGGAGGAGCCUGGUAGUCUACAGUCCAUGGGGUCGCAAAGAGUUGGACACGACUGAGCGACUUCACUUUCCAGGCCACAGGGACCCUGAAGUGCUCUGGACUUGGGCUGUAGCCUAUAUCCUCUUGGGAGAGGAGAAACGUGUAUUUCUGGAGGUCUUCAUGUGAGAGCAGAGCCAAGGCCAAGAGCUCAACCCUGGCUGCUGCAAGGAAGCUUUUAAAACGUGCAGGUGGGCUUCCCUGGGCUCUCAGUGGUAAAGAAUCCAUCUGCCAAUGCAAGAGACAUGGGUUCAAGCCCUGGUCCGGAAAGGUCCCGCAUGCCUUGGAUCAACUAAGCCCGUGUGCCACAGCUGUUGAGCCUGCACUCUAGAAGCAGAGAACUGCACCUACUGAGCCCAUAUGCCACAACUACUGAAGCCCGCGACUCCUAGAGCCUGUGCUCUGCAACCUGAGAAACUACUGCAAUGAGAAGCCCGCAUACCGCAACUGGAGAGUAGCCCCUGCUCGCCGUAACUUGAGAAAAGUCCGCAAAGCAAUGAAGACCCAGUGCACUCAAAAAUAAGUUAAUAAAAUCAUUAAA
Molecule: long non-coding RNA, 974 nt
Filed under: Bos indicus x Bos taurus (hybrid cattle)
Lineage: Eukaryota; Metazoa; Chordata; Mammalia; Artiodactyla; Bovidae
Description: lncRNA (ENSBIXG00000022594.1)
Source: RNAcentral